RNAcentral lists this ribosomal RNA (492 nucleotides) under uncultured bacterium. Its description in RNAcentral is "partial 16S ribosomal RNA". It matches the Rfam family "Bacterial small subunit ribosomal RNA", at positions 29 to 507 of the family's 1533-position model. The record is from RNAcentral.
AUUGAACGCUGGCGGCAUGCUUUACACAUGCAAGUCGAACGGUAACAGGCCUUCGGGUGCUGACGAGUGGCGAACGGGUGAGUAAUGCUUCGGAACGUACCCAGAGGUGGGGGAUAACGCAGCGAAAGCUGUGCCAAUACCGCAUGUGAUCUGAGGAUGAAAGCGGGGGACCGAGCAGCAAUGUUUGGCCUCGCGCCUUUGGAGCGGCCGAUGUCGGAUUAGCUAGUUGGUGGGGUAAAGGCCUACCAAGGCGACGAUCCGUAGCUGGUCUGAGAGGACGACCAGCCACACUGGGACUGAGACACGGCCCAGACUCCUACGGGAGGCAGCAGUGGGGAAUUUUGGACAAUGGGCGCAAGCCUGAUCCAGCAAUGCCGCGUGCGGGAAGAAGGCCUUCGGGUUGUAAACCGCUUUUGGCAGGAACGAAACGGUGUCCGCUAAUACCGGGCGCUAAUGACGGUACCUGCAGAAUAAGCACCGGCUAACUACGUG